UACGUAGGGUGCGAGCGUUGUCCGGAAUUAUUGGGCGUAAAGAGCUUGUAGGUGGCUCGUUGCGUCGGGUGUGAAAACCUGCGGCUUAACCGCAGGCCUGCUUCCGAUACGGGCGAGCUAGAGUUCGGCAGGGGAGACUGGAAUUCCUGGUGUAGCGGUGGAAUGCGCAGAUAUCAGGAGGAACACCGGUGGCGAAGGCGGCACUCUGGGCCUGUACUGACGCUGAGACGCGAAAGCGCGGGGAGCGAACGGG
This 253-nucleotide ribosomal RNA is filed under the name uncultured bacterium. Its description in RNAcentral is "partial 16S ribosomal RNA". It matches the Rfam family "Bacterial small subunit ribosomal RNA", at positions 524 to 776 of the family's 1533-position model. The record is from RNAcentral.